RNAcentral lists this ribosomal RNA (140 nucleotides) under uncultured eukaryote. Its description in RNAcentral is "partial 18S ribosomal RNA". It matches the Rfam family "Eukaryotic small subunit ribosomal RNA", at positions 1299 to 1458 of the family's 1831-position model. The record is from RNAcentral.
UGGUGGAGUGAUUUGUCUGGUUAAUUCCGUUAACGAACGAGACCUCAGCCUAUUAAUUAGUUUGGCUAAUCUUCGGAUUGGUUCAGACUUCUUAGAGGGACUAUCGGUGUUUCAGCCGAUGGAAGUUUGAGGCAAUAACA